Molecule: long non-coding RNA, 212 nt
Filed under: Physcomitrium patens
Lineage: Eukaryota; Viridiplantae; Streptophyta; Bryopsida; Funariales; Funariaceae
Description: long non-coding RNA (PPAT_LNC009205)
Source: RNAcentral
GCAGCUAACCUCCGUGCACUCAAAAUUCCACCAAAAUUCUGCCCUUAUCUUAAAUCAAGUAACUCUUAUCUUCUUAGAAAGCUAACACCAAAAGCUACAACUACAAAAAAAUUCUAUUGAAACUCAAAAAAUUAAAUGAUUGAUUGAAGGAAAUUUGAGGCUCUUGAAUUCUUAAAAUAUUUGGGAGGCUGAGAGAGCUAUCUACUACAAUU